UUUCCCUCUCUGCGACUCAUCACUCAAUUAUUUUCAUCUUUAGAUUCAUGCACUUCGUACAAGAAGAAAUUUUUUUAGGGGUAGUAGACAUUAAAUUGCAUGGAUCAGAUGGUUCGUAUGUAUUUAUAAACACCCAUACCCGGGCACCUCUUUGUAAGCUUGAAGCUGGAACUGUAUAUGGCUGCUUAUUAUGCUUAAUACUUUCUCUUCCUCUCUCUCCUUUUUGAGGAAGGAGGAAUUUUUGUUCUUCAAAGAGCAAGGUUAAAACAAUACACGGCCUGGUAGCCCUCACCUCCCUUCUUUAUGGGAGGAUGGUAACAAUGAACCUUCCAGUACUUUAAAAAUUGUUUCAUUAAUAUGUUCUUAUUCUCAUUUAGGAUAGGACGAUUUAUGCAUCUUGAUGAUACAUUUGGAAUAGGGGGAUCUGGGUGCAGUGGAGUUUUAGAGUUUUCAAGAAUUUAUUUCUUGUUUUUUUAUUUUCAUGAGUGAAUGCAGGGAUUCUCAGUUUAUGUUCUCUCUUUUGGUCUGAUAGUACAUUGGUUGGUCUUUAUUAACAUGUCUGAUCUAUGUCAGACUUAUAUGUUGUGACCAAGGAUUUCAGAACUUGUAGCUUACAGUUUAUAUCUUGGAUUGUCACAGUUUAUAUCAUUGUGAAUAAUUUGGAUCUUCACAGUUAAUCAACUUAGGUUUCAAUAACUAAAAAGUUAUGGUCACUUGAGGAUUGCAAAAUUUAUUGGAUAGGUAGAUUAAAUGUGUGAGUGGUCCAAAAUUAUUGAAAAGAGAAAAGGGAAAAGAAGAUUAUGAAAGUUGUGUGCAGCAUCACUUGGUUCCAGAAUUGCUAAUUGUACUUUUUUUUUUGUCAACAUCACUCUAUUGGAUUGAAAAAAUAAAGGAGCACCAUAACAGAUUAUUGCCAAAUGUACUUUUAAUAUCAUUAAAAAGAAA
Cannabis sativa is the source of this 945-nucleotide long non-coding RNA. RefSeq lists it as uncharacterized. The transcript has 2 exons. The record is from RefSeq and is a predicted model, not a curated record. Lineage: Eukaryota; Viridiplantae; Streptophyta; Magnoliopsida; Rosales; Cannabaceae.